This 560-nucleotide ribosomal RNA is filed under the name Clavispora lusitaniae. RNAcentral describes it as "eukaryotic LSU rRNA". It matches the Rfam family "Eukaryotic large subunit ribosomal RNA", at positions 38 to 667 of the family's 3401-position model. The record is from RNAcentral. Lineage: Eukaryota; Fungi; Ascomycota; Pichiomycetes; Serinales; Metschnikowiaceae.
GCAUAUCAAUAAGCGGAGGAAAAGAAACCAACAGGGAUUGCCCCAGUAACGGCGAGUGAAGCGGCAAAAGCUCAAAUUUGAAAUCCUGCGGGAAUUGUAAUUUGAAGGUUUCGUGGUCUGAGUCGGCCGCGCCCAAGUCCAUUGGAACAUGGCGCCUGGGAGGGUGAGAGCCCCGUAUGGCGCACGCCGACUCUUUGCACCGCGGCUCCGACGAGUCGAGUUGUUUGGGAAUGCAGCUCUAAGUGGGUGGUAAAUUCCAUCUAAAGCUAAAUAUUGGCGAGAGACCGAUAGCGAACAAGUACAGUGAUGGAAAGAUGAAAAGCACUUUGAAAAGAGAGUGAAACAGCACGUGAAAUUGUUGAAAGGGAAGGGCUUGCAAGCAGACACGGUUUUACCGGGCCAGCGUCAAAUAAACGGGGGGGAAAAGGGGGAAAGAACGUGGCGCGUGCCUUCGGGUUCGCGUGUUAUAGCUUUCUCUAAUACCCCCAUGUUUGUUUGAGGCCUGCGAUUCUAGGACGCUGGCGUAAUGGUUGCAAGCCGCCCGUCUUGAAACACGGACC